This is a long non-coding RNA of Homalodisca vitripennis (glassy-winged sharpshooter), 229 nucleotides long. RefSeq lists it as uncharacterized. The record is from RefSeq and is a predicted model, not a curated record. The transcript has 4 exons. NCBI's taxonomy places the organism in Eukaryota, Metazoa, Arthropoda, Insecta, Hemiptera, Cicadellidae.
CUGUGCACUGCCCUUUCCUUUCUCUGACCAUGGUGAGACACAUACUACAAACCAUCGCGCCUCUAAUGGCCGUCCUUCUCAUCAAAGGUACUUCUGCUAGGAGGGUGUCCACGGAGGGUCUGGCAGCCUUCAACACAUGCAAAGACACAAGAGAACGUCUCUGAUGAAGAACUAAAAAUCAUCAAACAAGGAUCUGUGCCUUCCACAACAACGGGAAAGUGCUUUCUGG